ACUGAUCUAAACUGACCGGAUUACCCUGGUUUACAUGAUCAAUAUCAUCUGAUAACUGAUCAGAUUAUUAGUGUGGACGUAAACGGACUCAGUGUAGAAAUGAACCCGGUAGAUCUGCCUCUAA
Sphaeramia orbicularis (orbiculate cardinalfish) is the source of this 124-nucleotide long non-coding RNA. RefSeq lists it as uncharacterized. The transcript is spliced from 3 exons. The record is from RefSeq and is a predicted model, not a curated record. NCBI's taxonomy places the organism in Eukaryota, Metazoa, Chordata, Actinopteri, Kurtiformes, Apogonidae.